UUGACCUAGACCACACUAUACAAAUGAAAAGAUUGUUAUUAUUGAUAGGAUUAAUCAUUUUAAGAAGGCUGGAUUUGCUUGCUUCUAUUUUAGCUGCUGAAAUUAGGAUUACUGUUUGGGAGACACUGCAGUUCAGUAUACGAUUACAAAACUUAAUACUUAGACUGGGUAGUUCAUGUAAAUGGACAUAGGAGGCUGGGGUAGACAAAAGGGAGGGGUGAGGACUGCAGUGAAAUUGGAAACACAUCCUUUAUUAAAAGGGGGCAGCUGCUACUCAUCUUUGCUCUGGAGGUCAAAAGAAAUGAGACUGCUGGGCUAAGAUCAAGGUGUCAGCAGGGCUGUAUUCCUUCCCAAGGCUCCAGGGGAGAAUCUGUUCACUUGCCUUUCCCAGCUUCUAGAGGUUGCCUACAUUCCUUGGCUUGCGGACCCUUCCUCCAUCUCCAGAAUCAGUAACGAAAGAUCCAAAGCCAUAUCCUGGCUGAGUUGGCUGAGUUGAGCAGGACACUGACAAGGAGGCUGCUGAGCCUGCAACUCGACUGUUCUGUUUGAGGAGCUCUGUGCUUUAUCAUAGAAAUGGAUCUGGUGAGUGCAGAGCCCAGGGAAUCUACGGAAGCAUUUGCACUGUGGUAUUUCAGCGUCGUCAGUGCUCAAUCUUCAUAACCCUAAAAAACUUACUGAGAUUGGAAAAAUAACUUUCCUACUGUAAGUCUGAAUCUCUUGAACCCCUUCUCCUACCUUCACCCACUGAAUCCAUUGUUUUUAUAGUUCUGUGCUUGACAACGUGGAUUUUCGUAAGAAUGCCACUGUCUUUUUUUUUUUUUUAGACAAUAUCUCAGUCUGUUGCUCGGGCUGGAGUGAGUGGCAUGAUCAUGGCUCACUGCAGCCUCAGUCUCCCUGGGCUUUGGAGAUCCUCCUAACUCAGCCUCCCAGGUAGCUGGGACUAUAGGCAUGCGGCACCACACCUGGCUACUUUUUUUUUUGAGACAGAGUCUCACUCUGUCGCCCAGGCUGGAGUGCAGUGGCACUAUCUCCACUCACUGCAAGCUCUGCCUCCCGGUUUCAUGCCAUUCUCCUGCCUCAGCCUCCCAAGUAGCUGGGACUACAGGCACCCGCCACCAUGCCUGGCUAAUUUUUUUGUAUUUUUAGUAGAGACAAGGUUUCGCCGUGUUAGCAAGGAUGGUCUUGAUCUCCUGACUUUGUGAUCCGCCCGCCUCGGACUCCCAAAGUGCUGGGAUUACAGGUGUGAGCCACCGCGCCCGGCAUGCCUGGUUAUUUGUUGUAUUUUUUGUAGAGACGGGUUUUCGCCAUAUUGCCCAAGCUGGUCUUGAACUCCUGGGCUCAAGGGAUUUGCCCUUCUUGGCCUCCCAAAGAGCUAGGGUUACAGGCAUGAGCCAUGGUGCCUGGCCACUACUGUCGUAUUAUAGCAGAACAGUUUAUAUCAAUUUGGUGAGAGGGUAGUAGGUAGGAGGGGAUGGCUAGAGAAGAAAAUCAUGAUCUAAGUUUAAAAAAUAUAUAUUAUUUAUUUUUUGUUUUGUAGAGAUGUGGUCUCCCUAUGCUGCCCAGGCUCAUCUCAAACUCCUGGGCUCAAGCAUUCCUCCCACCUUGGCCUCCUAAAGUGCUGGGAUCAUAGGCGUGAACCACUGUGCCUGGCCUCAUGAUAUAACUUCUUAAUGUUAGUUUUUCCUUAAAGAGGGACUGCUUGCAGAGAGCUGUCACUUCUUUCUGCUUAGAACAGAUGAAAAUACAGAAGUAUAACAUCUCUAGUGGCUCAAAGAUAUACACAGAGCAUUAACAAUCCACUCACAGGAGUGUCAACACAUAUGCAGACAUCUGCCAUGCAUAGUUUGAAAAAACACCCCUGCAUCUGUAAGGACAGAUCUGUAUUUGUCAUUAGAGGGGAACAUUACAUUCAAAUUAUUUUAACAAAUGAACUUUGGGAUUUAAAAAACCACUGCUUUUCCCUUUAAUUCCAGUGCCUGUAUAACCUGCUUGAGUGAUGGGACAAAAAGUUAAUUCUACUUCUCUGUUGUUUCAUAGAAUAAUAUAUUUAGCUUCAAAAGAUAAUGUGAAGUUUCUCUAAAGAGAAAACAAAUUCUAGUGUGAUCAGGUGAUUUGGAAGCUGAGAUCUACAACACAGACUCCAGUGACUAAUGAGUGGUAUAAAACACAAUACAAUUAUAAAAAGAUGACUGUGAGGAAUUUUUAUUUUCCUUUCAUGUUCACUAAUUGCAAGCUUUCUUCAUUUCGGUAAUAUCUAAAAUGAUCUCCUCUUGUCGGAGGUAGAUUUUCCCAGUAGCUUCUAACUCCUGUGUCAAAGAGAAAAUAAAGAUUUACCUUUAAAGAGAGUCACUGAUUGGCUCACCUGAUUAUACUGUUUAAAAACAAUAGCCUUAAGAGAGUCCAGAUACCGACUUCUCAGGUCCAUUUUCACAAUCUGAUGGUGUUUGCUAGCAAUUGUCAGCGCCUUGAAAUGAAAAUUUGCAAGACUAUUACUAGGAUUACUGCCUCUGUGUUUAUAAUACUUGUCAAAGUAAAAUGUAAGAGCUGCAAUUAGGGAAUAGUUUCCCCGUAAGUGUAAAAAGAAGUCUAGAAAAACAUCUGAUAGCCUGUUACUGAGCUUCAAAAACAAAGUGGUUAAUGGCAUUAAUACUCUGAUAAAUGCAGUCUUUUGUAUCAUUUCUUAGAAAAGCGAUCCUGUUUAAAGUUAGGAGUUACUAAUAAAUCAAGUUCAGACUUUGGAAUAAACAAUAAAUACUCAAAAUGUUACUGUUUUUGAAUAUCAGUCAUCUAAUACCAUAAUGAUAUUGCCAUACAAAAACGCAGAUAUGUAUGCUUUUUGGCAAAUACUGAAGAAAUAAGUGUGUAUUGAAUACAGCUCAUAAGAGUUUCCUGUCAUUAGGGGAAAAGAAGACUGAAACAGAAUUACUAUGAUAGGAUAAGAUGUUUAACCUGAUCUAGAGAACAGACAAGUUUGCCUUAAGAUACACAAUAGAAAUGAACAUUAGUCCGCGCAGUGGCUCACGGCUGUAAUCCCAGCGCUUUGGCAGGCCAAGGCAGGUGGAUCACUUGAAGUCGGGAGUUUGAGACCAGCCUGGGCAACAUGGUGAAACCCCACCUCCACUAAAAAUAGAAAAAUAAGUUAGCCAGGCAUAGUGGUGAGUGCUUGUAGUCCCAGCUACUUGGGAGGCUGAGGCAGGAGAAUCGCUUGAACCUUGGGGGUGGAGGGUGCAGUGAGCCAAGAUCGCCCCACUGCACCCCACCCUGGGUGACAGAGUGAGACCCUGUCUCAAAAAAAAAAAAAGAACAUUAGCCUUUGGGGUAAUGUUUAAACUACCUGUGGCAAGGUGUACUCACCUGGCUAUAAGUGGAUGAAAGACCACUAUGUAUCAUGGAGCAGGAGACCCCAAAUGUAAAGAAGUGUUUUAAGGAAAUAGAAGUGAGUAGCAGUCUUUGCCAUUUCAAUAAACCACCAAAAAACUUAAAUGACAAGCAAGUAGUCAUUUACUACCUAGGGCUCGCCUGGUCACAACAGUGGAGUCCUUGGUACUCCACACCGCACCUCCACCCCACUCUGCUGUGGAGUGACAGGACAUGAUGCAGCCAGGAUGGUGGAGCUGCUCGCCUACAACCAGCUGAUGUGGCAGCUCUGGAACCAAUUGAAGGUGCCACUGAGGUUGUGAAUGCUAACAGUGGUAGCAGCAAGUGCCAGGCCAAUUUAGGGAGAACUAACUUUGGGGAAAGAUGCUAGGAAGCCUGUGAUAUUAAAGGCAGAACCAUAAAGAGAAGCAGGCUCGGAACAGAGGCUACAUCUUAUGUGAAAGCAGUCUCCUUGUGUAUGGAAUGUGGGAGAAAUGGUUACAAAUGAAAAUAAUGUUCAUUAAUAAGCAAAUUAUACAAUUAUGAAAAAGUAAUGAGGUAUAUUCAUUUGUAACCACGUGGAAAUGUUAUGUUAAUUUUUUUUUUUUUUUAAGACGGAGUUUCUUUCUCGUUGCCCAGGCUGGAGUGCAAUGGUGCGAUAUGGGCUCACUGCAACCUCUGCCUCCCGGGUUCAAGCAAUUCUCCUGCCUCAGCCUCCCAAGUAACUGGGAUUACAGGUGCCCACCACCACGCCUGGCUAAUUUUUUUGUAUUUUUAGUAGAGACAGGGUUUUACCAUGUUGGCCAGGCUGGUCUCAAACUCCUGACUUCAGGUGAUCCACCUGCCUCGGCCUCCCAAAGUAUUGGGAUUACAGACAUGAGCACCGCGCCUGGCCUACCCUGGCUUUUCUAAUAACCAUCUUGUCAAAGGAAAUAGCAAACUUUGACAGUAGUUAUUUUGAACGAACGGAAUAGGGAAAAGGGGUAUGAAGCUUUGAAGACUUUUUAUCUUUAGAGACUUCUGUAUCGGUUGCAUUUUUUUAUAUUAAGUAUGCAUUAUUUCUAGAUCAAAAAACAAUAAAAUAUAGCUCCAAUCUAAUAUCUUAUGCCAUGUUCCCAUCUGCAGAUAACAACACUCUGUUUCUUAUUUUAGGAGAACAAGAAUUACAUGUGGUAUUCUAUAUCUUUUUUUUGUUUUUUUAGAGGUGGGGUGUUGCUUUGUCUUGUGAUCGCAGCUCACGGCAGCCUUGGACUCGUGGGCACGAGCAAUCCUCCCACUUCAGCCUCCCAAGUAGCUGGGACCACAGGUACAUGCCACUGCACCUGGCCUAGUAUUCUCUAUCAAAUACUUAUUCAACAGUUAAAAUCUAUAUAGACCUUUGAGAUAGGAUAAUAAAAUAUUAUAGCUUGUAAUAAUUUUU
RNAcentral lists this long non-coding RNA (4777 nucleotides) under Homo sapiens (human). RNAcentral describes it as "HSALNT0387284". The stretch from base 3143 to 3290 matches the Rfam family "Metazoan signal recognition particle RNA". The record is from RNAcentral. Lineage: Eukaryota; Metazoa; Chordata; Mammalia; Primates; Hominidae.